Molecule: ribosomal RNA, 492 nt
Filed under: uncultured bacterium
Lineage: Bacteria
Description: partial 16S ribosomal RNA
Rfam family: Bacterial small subunit ribosomal RNA
Source: RNAcentral
GAUGAACGCUAGCUACAGGCUUAACACAUGCAAGUCGAGGGGAAACGGCAUCGAAAGCUUGCUUUUGAUGGGCGUCGACCGGCGCACGGGUGAGUAACGCGUAUCCAACCUGCCCAUCACUUGGGAAUAACCUUGCGAAAGUAAGACUAAUGCCCAAUGACAUCCCACGAAGGCAUCCGAAUGGGAUUAAAGAUUUAUCGGUGAUGGAUGGGGAUGCGUCUGAUUAGCUUGUUGGCGGGGUGACGGCCCACCAAGUCAACGAUCAGUAGGGGUUCUGAGAGGAAGGUCCCCCACAUUGGAACUGAGACACGGUCCAAACUCCUACGGGAGGCAGCAGUGAGGAAUAUUGGUCAAUGGGCGAGAGCCUGAACCAGCCAAGUAGCGUGCAGGAUGACGGCCCUAUGGGUGGUAAACUGCUUUUAGAAGGGAAUAAAGUGGGUCACGUGUGACUUUUUGCAUGUACCUUAUGAAUAAGGACCGGCUAAUUCCGUG